AGCCCCGUAAGCGAAAUCCAAAGAAGGCCUAUCAGUAUCCUGAGUAGGGCGGGACACGUGAAAUCCCGUUUGAAUCCGCGAGGACCAUCUCGCAAGGCUAAAUACUAACCAGUGACCGAUAGUGAACCAGUACCGUGAGGGAAAGGUGAAAAGAACCCCGGGAGGGGAGUGAAAGAGAACCUGAAACCGUGUGCCUACAAGUAGUCAGAGCCCGUUAACGGGUAAUGGCGUGCCUUUUGUAGAAUGAACCGGCGAGUUGCGUUAGUCAGCAAGGUUAAGUCAGAAAAGAC
RNAcentral lists this ribosomal RNA (290 nucleotides) under Lactobacillus delbrueckii subsp. bulgaricus. Its description in RNAcentral is "partial 23S ribosomal RNA". It matches the Rfam family "Bacterial large subunit ribosomal RNA", at positions 369 to 661 of the family's 2925-position model. The record is from RNAcentral. Lineage: Bacteria; Bacillati; Bacillota; Bacilli; Lactobacillales; Lactobacillaceae.